AGUCGACGGACCCUUCGGGGUUAGUGGCGGACGGGUGAGUAACACGUGGGAACGUGCCUUUAGGUUCGGAAUAGCUCCUGGAAACGGGUGGUAAUGCCGAAUGUGCCCUUCGGGGGAAAGAUUUAUCGCCUUUAGAGCGGCCCGCGUCUGAUUAGCUAGUUGGUGAGGUAAUGGCUCACCAAGGCGACGAUCAGUAGCUGGUCUGAGAGGAUGACCAGCCACAUUGGGACUGAGACACGGCCCAAACUCCUACGGGAGGCAGCAGUGGGGAAUCUUGCGCAAUGGGCGAAAGCCUGACGCAGCCAUGCCGCGUGAAUGAUGAAGGUCUUAGGAUUGUAAAAUUCUUUCACCGGGGACGAUAAUGACGGUACCCGGAGAAGAAGCCCCGGCUAACUUCGUGCCAGCAGCCGCGGUAAUACGAAGGGGGCUAGCGUUGCUCGGAAUUACUGGGCGUAAAGGGCGCGUAGGCGGAUCGUUAAGUCAGAGGUGAAAUCCCGGAGCUCAACUUCGGAACUGCCUUUGAUACUGGCGAUCUUGAGUAUGAGAGAGGUAUGUGGAACUCCGAGUGUGUGGGUGAAAUUCGUAAUUAUUCGGAAGAACACCAGUGGUAGAGGCGACAUACUGGCUCAUUACUGACGCUGAGGCGCGAAGGCGUG
This 656-nucleotide ribosomal RNA is filed under the name Brevundimonas sp. 35AGIII. RNAcentral describes it as "bacterial SSU rRNA". It matches the Rfam family "Bacterial small subunit ribosomal RNA", at positions 60 to 763 of the family's 1533-position model. The record is from RNAcentral. Lineage: Bacteria; Pseudomonadati; Pseudomonadota; Alphaproteobacteria; Caulobacterales; Caulobacteraceae.